Molecule: ribosomal RNA, 493 nt
Filed under: uncultured bacterium
Lineage: Bacteria
Description: partial 16S ribosomal RNA
Rfam family: Bacterial small subunit ribosomal RNA
Source: RNAcentral
GACGAACGCUGGCGGCGUGCUUAACACAUGCAAGUCGAACGGAAAGGCCUGCUUUCCCUUGUGGAUUGCGGGUACUCGAGUGGCGAACGGGUGAGUAACACGUGAGUGAUCUGCCCCCAACUUGGGUAUAAGCCUGGGAAACUGGGUCUAAUUCCCGAUAGGACUGCAGGGUGGUGCCUGUGGUGGAAAACGAUUUUCUAGUGGUUGGGGAUGAGCUCGCGGCCUAUCAGCUUGUUGGUGGGGUAAUGGCCUACCAAGGCGGCGACGGGUAGCCGGCCUGAGAGGGUGGACGGCCACAUUGGACUGAGAUACGGCCCAGACUCCUACGGGAGGCAGCAGUGGGGAAUAUUGCACAAUGGGCGGAAGCCUGAUGCAGCGACGCCGCGUGGGGGAUGACGGCCUUCGGGUUGUAAACUCCUUUCGACCGCGAGGAAGCCACCUGGUUGGAAGGGUGGUGACGGUAGUGGUAGAAGAAGCACCGGCUAACUACGUG